AUUGAACGCUGGCGGCAGGCCUAACACAUGCAAGUCGAACGAGCGGCGGACGGGUGAGUAAUGUCUGUGAAACUGUCUGAUGUAGGGGGAGAACUACUGGAAACGGUAGCUAAUAACGCCUACCAUCAGAUGUGCCCAGAUGGGAUUAGCUAGUAGGUGGGGUAACGGCCCACCAAGGCGACGAUCCCUAGCUGGUCUGAGAGGAUGACCAGCCACACUGGAACUGAGACACGGCCCAGACUCCUACGGGAGGCAGCAGUGGGGAAUAUUGCGCAAUGGGCGCAAGCCUGAUGCAGCCAUGCCGCGUGUAUGAAGAAGGCCUUCGGGUUGUAAAGUACUUUCGGCGGGGAGGCGUUACCCGCAGAAGAAGCACCGGCUAACUCCGUGCCAGCAGCCGCGGUAAUUC
Molecule: ribosomal RNA, 406 nt
Filed under: uncultured bacterium
Lineage: Bacteria
Description: partial 16S ribosomal RNA
Rfam family: Bacterial small subunit ribosomal RNA
Source: RNAcentral